CUACGAAGAUGCUGAAGUAUUUAGAGAUGAUGUUCUUAAACAAGAUACUCGUGGUUCACAAACUGU
RNAcentral lists this transfer RNA (66 nucleotides) under Emiliania huxleyi. Lineage: Eukaryota; Haptophyta; Isochrysidales; Noelaerhabdaceae. The record is from RNAcentral.